This 347-nucleotide ribosomal RNA is filed under the name uncultured bacterium. RNAcentral's name for it is "bacterial SSU rRNA". It matches the Rfam family "Bacterial small subunit ribosomal RNA", at positions 1 to 334 of the family's 1533-position model. The record is from RNAcentral.
CUAGCGACUUCAGAGUUUGAUCCUGGCUCAGGAUGAACGCUGGCGGCGUGCUUAACACAUGCAAAUCGAACGAAGCACCUUGAUUUCUUCGGAUUGAUUGGUGACUGAGUGGCGGACGGGUGAGUAACGCGUGGGUAACCUGCCUCACACAGGGGGAUAACAGUUAGAAAUGACUGCUAAUACCGCAUAAGACCACAGUACCGCAUGGUACAGUGAUAAAAACUCCGGUGGUGUGAGAUGGACCCGCGUCUGAUUAGCUAGUUGGUGAGGUAACGGCUCACCAAGGCGACGAUCAGUAGCCGACCUGAGAGGGUGACCGGCCACAUUGGGACUGAGACACGGCCCAA